GAAGUGCGAUAAGUGUCAUGACUUGCAGAUCCCCGAGAGCUGACAAAUUUCUGAAUGCAAAUGGCGGCCAACUCACGUUGGUCAUGUAUUGCAGAGUGUAGUUGUUCAUACUCAUCAUCCUCCUUGAAGAUAUUCAAGAAGGGAUCUGCGCUUGUUGGGGAUUCGCUCUCCAUGCGAGCGUGAAAAGUCAGAGUGGAUGCCUCUCUUCGUCGAGAGGCUUCCAACUUCGGAGUUUUCUUUGGAAGUUCACCAUACUCUGUUCUCUCUCUGUGAUUCGCUUCAUGGAGGAGCCUUUCUCUAUUCACCUCUGCAAUGCAGGAAAACCCGCUGAACUUAA
This 337-nucleotide unclassified non-coding RNA is filed under the name uncultured fungus. RNAcentral describes it as "sequence contains ITS1". The stretch from base 1 to 101 matches the Rfam family "5.8S ribosomal RNA", at positions 50 to 154 of the family's 154-position model. Lineage: Eukaryota; Fungi. The record is from RNAcentral.